AGCAGUAGCCGCGGUAAAACGUAGGUCCCGAGCGUUGUCCGGAUUUAUUGGGCGUAAAGCGAGCGCAGGCGGUUUGAUAAGUCUGAAGUUAAAGGCUGUGGCUCAACCAUAGUUCGCUUUGGAAACUGUCAAACUUGAGUGCAGAAGGGGAGAGUGGAAUUCCAUGUGUAGCGGUGAAAUGCGUAGAUAUAUGGAGGAACACCGGUGGCGAAAGCGGCUCUCUGGUCUGUAACUGACGCUGAGGCUCGAAAGCGUGGGGAGCGAACAGGAUUAGAUACCCCCGUAGUCCCUGUCUCUUAUACA
This 303-nucleotide ribosomal RNA is filed under the name uncultured bacterium. RNAcentral describes it as "partial 16S ribosomal RNA". It matches the Rfam family "Bacterial small subunit ribosomal RNA", at positions 507 to 808 of the family's 1533-position model. The record is from RNAcentral.